This 744-nucleotide ribosomal RNA is filed under the name Staphylococcus aureus. Its description in RNAcentral is "bacterial SSU rRNA". It matches the Rfam family "Bacterial small subunit ribosomal RNA", at positions 202 to 935 of the family's 1533-position model. Lineage: Bacteria; Bacillati; Bacillota; Bacilli; Caryophanales; Staphylococcaceae. The record is from RNAcentral.
AAGACGGUCUUGCUGUCACUUAUAGAUGGAUCCGCGCUGCAUUAGCUAGUUGGUAAGGUAACGGCUUACCAAGGCAACGAUGCAUAGCCGACCUGAGAGGGUGAUCGGCCACACUGGAACUGAGACACGGUCCAGACUCCUACGGGAGGCAGCAGUAGGGAAUCUUCCGCAAUGGGCGAAAGCCUGACGGAGCAACGCCGCGUGAGUGAUGAAGGUCUUCGGAUCGUAAAACUCUGUUAUUAGGGAAGAACAUAUGUGUAAGUAACUGUGCACAUCUUGACGGUACCUAAUCAGAAAGCCACGGCUAACUACGUGCCAGCAGCCGCGGUAAUACGUAGGUGGCAAGCGUUAUCCGGAAUUAUUGGGCGUAAAGCGCGCGUAGGCGGUUUUUUAAGUCUGAUGUGAAAGCCCACGGCUCAACCGUGGAGGGUCAUUGGAAACUGGAAAACUUGAGUGCAGAAGAGGAAAGUGGAAUUCCAUGUGUAGCGGUGAAAUGCGCAGAGAUAUGGAGGAACACCAGUGGCGAAGGCGACUUUCUGGUCUGUAACUGACGCUGAUGUGCGAAAGCGUGGGGAUCAAACAGGAUUAGAUACCCUGGUAGUCCACGCCGUAAACGAUGAGUGCUAAGUGUUAGGGGGUUUCCGCCCCUUAGUGCUGCAGCUAACGCAUUAAGCACUCCGCCUGGGGAGUACGACCGCAAGGUUGAAACUCAAAGGAAUUGACGGGGACCCGCACAAGCGGUGG